This 96-nucleotide Y RNA is filed under the name Suricata suricatta (meerkat). RNAcentral describes it as "Y RNA (ENSSSUG00005019278.1)". It matches the Rfam family "Y RNA". Rfam says of the family: Y RNAs are components of the Ro ribonucleoprotein particle (Ro RNP), in association with Ro60 and La proteins. Lineage: Eukaryota; Metazoa; Chordata; Mammalia; Carnivora; Herpestidae. The record is from RNAcentral.
GACUGGUUCAAAGGUGGUGAGUCAAUUGAUUUUUUUGGUCAGUUAUAGAUUGAAUUUUUUUUCUAUUCUUCCCACUACUGCCUUGACUAGCUUAAA